ACCCACAGAGUUCGACUCUCUGGGUGUAACACAGGAAAAGGGGCGCUCCUCUUCCCAUUUUGCCAGUGUACCCCUGUCUGCAGGAUCAGUCAACUGCAGUCAGAUGCUAACGGGAUGGCUGGGACCGGGACCAUCAGUUCCCAGCACAAGGGAUGUGCUGUGGCAGUGCUGUAGGAUUCUGGACCCUUUGGAUGGAGUGAUGGGAAGAGGAACCCGAUUACUUGAGCCAUCAUGGCUGCCUCCAAGGGUGUGCGUUAGUAGGAAGCUGAUGUCAGGAGUCACAGCAAGGAACUGAACCCAGGUAACAGCAGGAAGAGUAAAAUCCUGGUUCCACCGUGGCUCCAGCAACACUUCCGGAUCCUGAAACCAACCUAGUGACUCAUUGAAAGCAGCAUCUCUUAUAAGUUACAACACACAGCUAUUGGGCACUGGUCUAGCUUUGAGGAUCACUCACGAGUUCUCAAACAGGCACACAGAAUUUGGAGAAAACAUAACUCAUGAACAUGAAAAUAUAUUCAUGGGAAUUCUCCAUAAUAUUUGGGAAGCCACUGAAUAAGACCAGAAUUCAACUAGUCCAGCUGAGAGCACAAGCCCACGAGACCUGAUUUAUCUCUAAAAUAAAACUGCAAAGUGCUUAACACGGUAUCUGGCUCACAGGAAGCACUCAAUACAUUGCCGUUACUUCUGGUAGCGUACGUUAGUUUUCAUUUGAGCUUGUAGAGCCUGGGAUAUACACGUUACACAGGCUCGUCUGCCAGUGAAUACAAGUGUUUUUGAUGAAUGUUCUUUCUGAAGUUUUCAGAUUUUCAAACUUGCUUGCUAUCUACCAUGUGCCCGGUCCGAUCCUCCUAAGAGCCAUGUGACCUGGGUAGUAGCAUCCACACCGUGGUGAUGGAGAAAACCAGGUGCCUAGAAAACAGUGAAAGUGUGAGUCCAAAAAUCAUGGGCACCAAAACCCAAACACAGAGGUGUCGACAUUGAUAUAAACACAGUCGUAAUUAUAGAUAACGUGUUUUGAAGACUGAGAUGACUUGCUUUGGGGAAUGUCUUAGAGAAUCCAGAGUGUGUGAAAGCCUUAGAAGUACCAAGGUCACAGAGCAGCUUUCAUGGUGAGAAUGUCCAUUUCUAUUUUCUACAUUUCUGUUUCUCUCACUUGGGACAUCAUAUGUGAAUAACCAACUCCGCAAGCCACCUUCAUCAACCUGACAGCAGGAAGGGGUUGUC
Molecule: non-coding RNA, 1224 nt
Organism: Oryctolagus cuniculus (rabbit)
Lineage: Eukaryota; Metazoa; Chordata; Mammalia; Lagomorpha; Leporidae
Source: RefSeq, a predicted model, not a curated record